AUGGCCAGGCCGGCGCUGAAGACGCUCACGACCGGGCCACCGGAAGCCAGGGGUGAGUUCAUCCGUCUCUGCUCAAGCGGUCGCCUCAAGGAUGCCCUCCACCACCCCUUCCGGGACGUCCUCUGGUCGGAACCUACCCUCUUCGCCCACGUCUUCCGGGCCUGCCGCGCCAUCCCGCUCCUCCGCCAAAUCCACGCCUUUGCCGCCACCUGUGGCGCCGCCGCCGACCGCUUCACCACCAACAACCUCAUGCUCGCCUACGCGGACCUCGGCGACCUCCCCACUGCGUGCAGUCUGUUCGAGAGAAUUCCGAAGCCGAACGUCAUGUCCUGGAACAUUCUGAUUGGUGGUUACAUCAAGAACGGCGACCUUGGAAGCGCUCGGAAGCUGUUCGACGAAAUGCCCAUGAGGAAUGUCGCCACCUGGAAUGCCAUGGUCGCUGGGCUCACCAAUGCAGGGCAUGACGAGGACAGCCUGGGGUUCUUCCUUGCCAUGCGAAGGGAGGGAUUGCAUCCUGAUGAGUUUGGCCUUGGGAGCGUGUUCAGGUGCUGUGCCGGGCUCUCUGAUCUUGUCUCUGGACGCCAGGUCCAUGCAUAUGUCCUGAGGUGUGGGAUGGACAUUGACAUGUGUGUUGGAAACUCGCUGGCUCACAUGUACAUGCGGUGUGGGUGCCUCGCAGAAGGAGAGGCCGUUCUCAAAGCGCUUCCUUCUCUUACAGUUGUGUCAUUCAAUACCACAAUCGCUGGUAGGGCGCAGCAUGGAGACUCCGAGGGAGCAUUGGAGUAUUUUUCCAUGAUGAGAGGUGUUGGGAUAGCGGCUGAUGUGGUCACAUUCGUUAGUAUCAUUACCUGUUGCUCAGAUUUGGCAGCUCUCGCACAAGGUCAGCAAGUUCACGCACAGGUUAUCAAGGCUGGAGUUGACAAGGUUGUUCCAGUCAUUACUUGCCUUGUGCAUAUGUACUCUCGAUGCGGAUGCUUGGGUGACUCGGAAAGAGUUUAUUCUGGUUAUUGUGGAUCAGAUCUUUUUCUUCUCAGUGCAAUGAUCUCAGCUUGUGGGUUCCAUGGGCAAGGACAUAAAGCAGUUGAGCUGUUUAAACAGAUGAUGAAUGCAGGGGCAAGACCUAAUGAGGUUACUUUCUUGGCCCUGCUAUAUGCGUGCAGCCAUAGUGGUCUGAAAGAUGAAGGCUUGGAGUUCUUUGAGCUUAUGACCAAGACUUAUGGACUGCAACCAAGUGUGAAACACUACACUUGUAUUGUGGAUCUUCUUGGGCGAUCAGGUUGUCUGGAUGAAGCAGAGGCCCUUAUCUUGUCAAUGCCUGUACGUGCUGACGGGGUCAUAUGGAAGACACUGCUAUCUGCUUGUAAGACCCAGAAGAAUUUUGACAUGGCCGAGCGGAUAGCAGAGCGAGUCAUUGAGUUUGACCCUCGAGAUUCUGCGCCUUAUGUUCUGCUAUCAAAUAUUCGAGCUACCAGCAGGAGAUGGGGAGAUGUCAGUGAGUUAAGAAAAAACAUGAGGGAGAAGAACGUGAGAAAGGAACCUGGUGUCAGCUGGGUAGAGCUUAAGGGUCAGGUGCAUCAGUUUUGCACAGGAGAUAAAUCUCAUCCAAGACAAGGAGAGAUCAAUGAGUACUUGGAAGAAAUGAUGGCCAAGAUCAGGCAAUGUGGAUAUGCACCAGACAUGAGCAUGGUGUUCCAUGAUAUGGAGGAUGAGGAGAAAGAGGUUAGUUUAACUCACCACAGCGAGAAAUUGGCGAUAGCAUUUGCAUUUCUGAGCUUACCUGAAGGAGUUCCUAUCCGAAUAAUGAAGAAUCUACGUGUGUGCGAUGACUGCCAUGUUGCUAUCAAGUUGAUGUCCCAGGUCACUGGUCGAGAGAUUGUGGUCAGAGAUGAUGGUCAUAAAGCUGGAUCAUGUGUUGCUGGAGCCCUGGAGGUUCUGGUCCUUCUGAGAGUAUGA
Molecule: ribosomal RNA, 1953 nt
Filed under: Triticum aestivum (bread wheat)
Lineage: Eukaryota; Viridiplantae; Streptophyta; Magnoliopsida; Poales; Poaceae
Description: partial small subunit ribosomal RNA
Source: RNAcentral